CUUGGUCAUUUGGAGGAAGGAGAAGUCGUAACAAGGUAUCCGUAGGUGAACCUGCGGAUGGAUCAUUAACACACACAUACACCUAUUUUCUCAGUGAGAUACGUGUGUACAUUUUCUUGUGCACACGAAUCUCCUCCUGAGAAAAUAAGCCCUUUUGAGAACUGUUAAAGUCCUUUAACAACAACUCACAAACUACAUAACCGUUUUAUCUAAUAUUUUCUUCGAGUACGCGUGUACGCAUCGUAGUGACAUAAAAAACCAUUAUGAUAUAAAUACACAAAUACACACAAAGUAAACAUUAACAUAAGACACAAUUUUUGACAAUGGAUAUCUUGGCUCGCUG
This 343-nucleotide unclassified non-coding RNA is filed under the name fungal sp. Its description in RNAcentral is "partial internal transcribed spacer region". The stretch from base 1 to 68 matches the Rfam family "Eukaryotic small subunit ribosomal RNA", at positions 1764 to 1831 of the family's 1831-position model. The record is from RNAcentral. Lineage: Eukaryota; Fungi.